Molecule: long non-coding RNA, 570 nt
Filed under: Vigna radiata
Lineage: Eukaryota; Viridiplantae; Streptophyta; Magnoliopsida; Fabales; Fabaceae
Description: long non-coding RNA (VRAD_LNC003800)
Source: RNAcentral
GAGAGGUGUGUCACAAUGGACAACUUAAGUACCAGGUCUUUCCUUAGCCAAAGUGUUCCUCAACUUAUUAACAAAUUUCUUAUUCACAGAUUCAAAAUAACAACAUAUAAUAUUAUCACAAAAGUUCAAAUAGUUAUACAACAAACACAUAGUUUCUUCAUUAACAGUAAUUGCAUAUAAUUUCAAGACAUAAAUAAUUAUUAAAAAAAUAUUUUAUAAUAUAAAAAAAAAACUUAGAAAGGUUAGCUCUCCUUACCUCUUUUCCAGACUUAGUUUCCUACUCAAGAGUUGUUGCUCCGAAAAUCCUCCAGAAUUUCUACUCUCUUUGCAACCAAAAUUUCUUCCUAAUUCUUUCCUUUUGUCCCUUUCUUUCUUUCUCUCUUAUUUUCUUUUCUUCUUGUGCAAAAUCCUUCUCCUCCCCACCUUGGCUAUUUAUAGCCAAAAAAAAUUUUACUAUUCAAUUUUUUUUUAAAUAAUAUUUUAAUCAUCCACCACCCAAUGUUCUUAUCUGCUUCUUCAAUGUCUCGUAAGAUGCCUUAUCCACUAGGCACUAUUCACAUUUUAUUAAUU